RNAcentral lists this long non-coding RNA (851 nucleotides) under Homo sapiens (human). RNAcentral describes it as "HSALNT0022122". The record is from RNAcentral. Lineage: Eukaryota; Metazoa; Chordata; Mammalia; Primates; Hominidae.
UUUUCCAUGUUUCAAAUAUGACUGAACCUGACAUAUAUAAUAGAACGCAAAAGAUUCUUCAAAAUCAAACUGUGUCCGGAAUUGGUGGGUUCUUGGUCUCACUGACUUCAAGAAUGAAGCCACGGACCCUGGCGGUGAGUGUUACAGCUCUUAAGGUGGCGUUUCUGGAGUCUGUCCCUUCUGAUGUUCAGAUGUGUUCGGAGUUUCUUCCUUCUGGUGGGUUCGUGGUCUCGCUGGCUCAGGAGUGAAGCUGCAGAUCUUCACGGUUGCUAGUAACACAAUAAUAAAGCUGCUUUAUUUUCCAGUGAAGAUGUAUGUGAUAGGGAGUGGAGGAAGAAAAAGGCCAGAAAAUUCCAUAGUUAGCAAAUAUACCUUUCUUACUUAAAAUUCUUUUUCCAAUGUGAGCCUUCUAAAGAGUUACUGAGAAAUUAGGUGAGCUCACCUCAUUUAAUGCAAUAGAUAUGUUUCUGAAAAAUAAGCAAUACAUAGGACAUUGGCCAAUUAAGAAUUCUGAUGAAGAAGAAUUUUCACAUCCGAAAGAGUAAAAAUGAAAAACGGUACAAAUGUAGUGGCUUUUAAAUUUCAAAACAAAUUAUUUUGAUAAGAUAAAUAUUCCUCUCAUAAAGUGAAAAUGGAAGAGACUGCUUGCUGGGUGUUCGUCAAAAUGGAGUUAGAUGGUCUGUCCCAGACUCCCCUGUUGUUAGUUCUGAGAACAGAAGUAAUGGUGCUUCUUCAGGACUGGCUCAUAGAAACCUGCCGUGUUCAGCCCCCACAAUCCUCUCCCUUCUGCUGGCUGGAAACAAAUGACAACGAAGCCUCACGUCUUGGAGAAACCACACUGCUGAGGAACU